UGAGCCGUUAAGAUCGAUGCAGACUCUCUCAUGCUAGGCUAGGGUUUCUGAUAAUUGCAAUUGCUUUGGCACGCAGCAGUCGCAGCAGAAGAAUAUGGCAUCCGCCUCUGUCGCACUCUCAGCUCUCCCAAUCUCACCCUUCUCUACCUCUCAACCCCACAGAAACCGAUGCGCCUUCUCUUCUCCCUCCCUUCCCUGCCACGUUCCCCACUAUAACUUGACAACAUUUCUCGGCGCAAGGCUUUCUAUUCGAAUUCCGAAUGUAAAGCACAUGGCUUCCAAGCAUCGGACGGCCAUCGCCACCGUCCUCUUCAGCCUCCCAACCGCGAAGCCCGACAGGAUUUCUACUGGGAAGAGCCCCAAAUGGUCCGCCAGAGCGAUAAAGUCGUUUGCUAUGGCUGAAUUGGAAGCAAGGAAGCUUAAAUAUCCCAAUACAGGGACCGAAGCACUUCUCAUGGGGAUUUUGGUUGAGGGAACAAGCCUAGCUGCAAAGUUUCUUAGAGCCAAUGGAAUUACACUCUUCAAGGUUCGAGAUGAAACUGUAAAUUUACUUGGAAAAUCAGACAUGUACUAUUUCAGCCCUGAGCAUCCUCCAUUAACUGAACCAGCCCAGAGAGCCCUUGAUUGGGCUUUUGAUCAAAAACUAAAAUCAGGAGAAAAUGGGGAAAUAACAGUAACUCAUCUGCUUCUUGGGAUUUGGUCUGAAAAAGAGUCGGCAGGUUACAAGAUCUUGGCGUCCCUAGGUUUUGAUGAUGAUAAAGCUACAGAGCUUUCCAAAUCUAUGGAUAAGGAUUAUGAUCGCACCUUUAAAUAAGGAGGCAAAAAUGCUUUUUUUUUUCUUUUUCAAACAAUCGCUUGCUGUCAAACAUCCUCCUACACAGCCUCCAAAAGAUAUUGCUUCCUGGUGCUUUUAUUGAGGAAGUUCCUCUGCAUAUGGUGCCAAGUCGGUUGAAGAAACAGCUAAUUCAAAGUGCAUAAGCUUAAGAGGUUCGGAUGUUUUAAGUUUAACUAUCUUUGUUUAAAAAUAUAUAAGUCCAGAUUUAACGGUAAAGCAUCCGGACUAUUCAGUACUCCAGAGCAUCUAAAAAUUGCCAUAGGAAGGGCAAGGCGUUGCGUUGUGUCAUCAUCCAUGAGUCCAUCCAGUGCAGCCUUAAGUUGAGACGAAACCUUAUUUACACUAGUCUAAAACAAGACAAUGAAAUUGUCUGCCUGUGGAAUUCCUCGCAAAAUAUCCGGCCUCGCAUUUGGCAUGGACUAUUCUUAAGAUGGGAUGGACCAUGCGGAGUGGGGUUUACUUUCUCUGUCACCGGGAUAACUUUUACAUUGUAUCAAUUUUGAAAAGCUAAAAGAGCAAGGCCUGUAGAUUGUAGAAUUAACUAAUGACUCACUUUGAAUAUGUGAUUGCAGGGAAUUUAUAGCAGAAGUCAUUGAGGAAUGUUGAGUGUCUUGAUAAAACUGAGGUGUAAAUCUGCAGUGGACUGGAGUUUGUUAGGUGCCUGCGGUGGAUCUGGAGCUCUUCAUGCACCCAGGAAUGCACCUUCGUUUUAACAAUACAAAAUAACAGAUUUUGUGCCAGUUCAUGGGAACACAUUAUGCAUGUAUGAUGAAGGAAGCAAAACCGUUAAAUUGAAUCGUCAAUUAUGAAUGUCAAGGCGGGAAAGAGAGAAAUUGCUUUUGCUAAAUACCGAGUUGUGGUGUGUGUGUGUGUUUGUGUAGCUUGUGAGUUCUGACUAAUUUUACAGGGUGAACCACAAAAGUAAUUACUCGAGAGAACAAAGUUUCAUCAGCUU
RNA transcript from Pyrus x bretschneideri (Chinese white pear), 1790 nucleotides. It is a transcript of the gene named ATP-dependent Clp protease ATP-binding subunit CLPT1, chloroplastic, with no coding region annotated. Lineage: Eukaryota; Viridiplantae; Streptophyta; Magnoliopsida; Rosales; Rosaceae. The transcript has 7 exons. The record is from RefSeq and is a predicted model, not a curated record.